Populus euphratica (Euphrates poplar) is the source of this 2253-nucleotide long non-coding RNA. RefSeq lists it as uncharacterized. The record is from RefSeq and is a predicted model, not a curated record. NCBI's taxonomy places the organism in Eukaryota, Viridiplantae, Streptophyta, Magnoliopsida, Malpighiales, Salicaceae. The transcript has 7 exons.
AUGACCAAGUAGAUCCGAUUUAUCCUUUGUGUGGUCUGUCCACUUCCAAUGGGAGCAAAGUGGAAAUUAUCAGAAGCAUAGAAAAAGAGUGAGAACAACAGGUAGGAAAAAAAGACUCAACAAUUAUUGCAACACCAACAUCUUAUGACUCUUCUUCUUCAUCAAACAAAAUUUCUCAGCAUAUGAUAAAUAUUCCCAUGAAAUGAAGAGAAAAACAGAAGAAAAAAAUUGGAACUCCAAAAACCACGUCAUCCAUCACUGUUUUGUCAACAGCAGAAGAACACUGCUACUGAACUUCCACCUAGAGCACCAUCUUACAAAAGCUCGACAUUCAGUAAGAGAAAAGAGAGAAAGAUCUUAUCUUAACAUUUACUUCUCAAGCCGUGGUCUAAUUUUCUUCUGUGUGGCUAUCAUUUAAACUCAGAAUUGGAGACUUGACUAGCUGAGAGUAUAGCAGUCGUAGUUGGAUCAUACUUGAGUCAACCUGAUAUAAAUCACUAGGAUCCACUGUCUCGAACCAGCUUGGUGGGUAGGCCAGUGAUUGUAUCAUCAGAUGCUGAUUACAACUAUAACCUUCUUCAACAAGAAGGAAAAUUGGUUGAAAGAUGCUACAUGGAUUCCUUUGCCAAGCUUCUUCACCAAGAUGCCACAUCAGUUAUUUCGAAACAUGGUUCCAUACACAAAUACCCCAGGAACUUAGUCUUGGCUUAUUUUGGCCCUGGGCCCCUCAAAGAUAAGCUGCUGCCAUAGUUAGAAACUGCUAUAAGCCAAGCAUUGCAGGAUUGGUCUAAGCGACCAACUGUAUAAGUGAAGAGAGCCAGUUCAUCUGUAAAUCAAUUUUGAGCUUAAAUUUCCAGUUACCUUUUGAAUAACUCCUAAAUUGUAGCUCUACAUUGAUGGAAUGAAGCAUCAUAAGCGCUGCUGUUUUUUCAUGCCUCGCAAUAAGACUUGUAGCUACUAUGACUGCCUCAACAUCUUUUUCUCCAUUUUUUCCCAAAAACUUGCAGAUGAAAUUUGAUUUUACUGCAAAAGUAUCGUUCAGUUAUGAAUCAGAAAAAUCAGGGGAAAAUAUAGCUGAAAGUUUCACCUACUUCUUGCUAGGACUCAUGUCAAUCUCUUUGAAUAUUCCUGGCACAGCAUUUCAGAGAUGUUCAAAGAACCAGAAGAGGGCUAUAAAACCAAUAACUGCUAGAAGAGGGACGGCGCCAUCCAGAGAUCCGCAAAGGAGAUUUUCUUGAUCAAAUUGUGGAAGACAUGCAAAAGGAAAAUUUUUGGACAGAUGAGUUUGCCAUUUACAUGAUGUUUGGGCUGCUCCUUGCCAGCUUUGAUACUAUAUCCUCCACACUUGCUUUAGCCAUUUAAUUUCUCACAGACUACCCUCCAGUGGUGCAGAAGCUGACGGUAAGUAAACUAAAAAUUACUGAAAACUCUUGAAAACAAGUUGUUGAUGAAGAUUGAUUCUGUACCUUCCCAAGUGGAGCACGAGAGAAUCCUUGAGAGAAGAAAAGGUACAGAUUCUGGACUUCCAGGAAAGAAUAUAAAUCCAUGACCCAUACCCAUCAUGUUGUUAACGAAUCACUCAGGUUGGCAAGUGUUGCUCCAGGAAUGCUUAGAAGGGCCAUAAAAGACAUUCAAGUUGAAGGAUACACAAUCCCUAAAGGCUGGACUAUCAUGGUUGUUCCAGCAGCUGUUCAAUUAAAUCCCAACACCUAUAAAGAUCCCCUUGCCUUUGAUCCAUCAAGAUGGGAUAACACGGGAGCUAUUGCAACUGCAAAGAUCUUCAUAGCUUUUGGAGGAGGCUUAAGGUCAUGUGCUGGAGUAGAGUUCAGUAGGGUUUUAAUGCCUGUAUUCUUACAUUUCUUAGUCUCCAAAUAGAGGUGGAGAAAAGUCAAGGGAAGAGACAUGGUUAGAUCUCCAGCUUUGGGAUUCUGCAACGGUUUCCACAUUCAGAUUGAAGGAAAGCAAGGACGAAUGCUUAAUUUUGCUUCAGAAUAUAAUGAAGAAGACAUCAUCAAAGACCAGAACAUCAGAGAAGUUUGUCGUUCUUAAUUACAGUUUGCCUUGCAUGUUUCUUCUCCAAUUUAUGUUAUAAAGUAAUAGCCAUGUACUUCUACAACUUAGCUUCGGUGAUGGUUGAAUCUGAAAUAAUUAAGUUCAUGCUGUAACGUGACGGAGUCAGCCAUGCUCUAAAGCAAAUGUAAGGAUCUCUUAUGGUUUGUUGUUAUUGGAAGCAUUAUCAAUUUACAAAGUUAA